This 282-nucleotide unclassified non-coding RNA is filed under the name Hevea brasiliensis (rubber tree). Lineage: Eukaryota; Viridiplantae; Streptophyta; Magnoliopsida; Malpighiales; Euphorbiaceae. The record is from RNAcentral.
AUGGCGCGCAUCCGCAGCGAUGCACGCCUCAAGGCCGAUGCAGAUCGCAUCGCGACCUUCGCGGUCACGCUCAGGUUCGACGAUGAAACUGCGUUGCGGGAUUUCGUGACGGCGCGGCUGGCAAAAGCGCGCGCGAUAAAUCUUUAGGCCUUCUUCAACUGCGCGGGAUAGUACCGCUGCAACACGGCUUCCGGCGUCGCAUAGGCUUCCUNNNNNNNNNNUUCAGCUCGUCCAGCGGAAUGUGUUCGCCGGUGAUGGCGCAGCGGACGUAGGAGCCGGGAG